CCUACGGGGGGCAGCAGUGGGGAAUAUUGCACAAUGGGGGAAACCCUGAUGCAGCGACGCCGCGUGAGUGAAGAAGUAUUCCGGUACGUAAAGCUCUAUCAGCAGGGAAGAAAAAAAGUCCUUUGGACUUUGGACGGUACCUGACCAAGAAGCCCCGGCUAACUACGUGCCAGCAGCCGCGGUAAUACGUAGGGGGCAAGCGUUAUCCGGAUUUAUUGGGUUUAAAGGGUGCGCAGGCGGCCUGUUAAGUCAGCGGUAAAAGCCCGGGGCUCAACCCCGGCGAGCCGUUGAAACUGGCGGGCUGG
This 305-nucleotide ribosomal RNA is filed under the name uncultured bacterium. RNAcentral describes it as "partial 16S ribosomal RNA". It matches the Rfam family "Bacterial small subunit ribosomal RNA", at positions 338 to 644 of the family's 1533-position model. The record is from RNAcentral.